This 68-nucleotide small nucleolar RNA is filed under the name Euglena gracilis. RNAcentral's name for it is "Eg-m39.1 box C/D methylation-guide snoRNA". Lineage: Eukaryota; Euglenozoa; Euglenophyceae; Euglenales; Euglenaceae. The record is from RNAcentral.
GGGAUGAGGACCCAUCAAUUUGCACAGUAUCUCCGAUGGAUAUGUGACGACCGUUUUGUUUGCUGAUC